Molecule: ribosomal RNA, 433 nt
Filed under: uncultured bacterium
Lineage: Bacteria
Description: partial 16S ribosomal RNA
Rfam family: Bacterial small subunit ribosomal RNA
Source: RNAcentral
AACGAACGCUGGCGGCAUGCCUAACACAUGCAAGUCGAACGGGACCUUCUGGACAGAUGCCUCAGGGGUGCGUUACUCGUGGGAACGUGCCCUGGGGGUGUGAAGAGCGCGCGGAAAGUGUUUCUAAUACGGGAUAAUGUCGGCGAACCAAAUAUUUAUCGCUUAUGGAUGGGCCCGCGUAGGUUUUGCUGGUUGGUAGGGUAUCAGCCAACCAAGGCGACGAUCCAUAGCUGGUCUGAGAGGAUGAACGGCCACACUGGGACUGAGACACGGCCCAGACUCCUACGGGAGGCAGCAGUGGGGAAUAUUGGACAAUGGGGGAAACCCUGAUCCAGCAAGGCCGCGUGAGCGAUGAAGGUCUUAGGGUCGUAAAGUUCUUUCAUAUGGGAUGAUAAUGACAGUACCAGAAGAAUAAGCUCCGGCUAACUACGUG